CCUACGGGAGGCAGCAGUGAGGAAUAUUGGUCAAUGGCCGGAAGGCUGAACCAGCCAAGCCGCGUGAAGGACGAAGGUGCCAAGCAUUGUAAACUUCUUUUGUCAAGGGACAAAAUCAGGCUCGAGAGCCUGACCGAGGGUACUUGAAGAAAAAGCAUCGGCUAACUCCGUGCCAGCAGCCGCGGUAAUAGGGAGGAUGCGAGAGUUAUCCGGAUUUCUUGGGUUUAAGGGGUGCGUAGGCGGACUGUUAAGUCAGCGGUAAAAGCCCGGGGCUCAACCCCGGCGAGCCGUUGAAACUGGCUGUCUUGAGAUGUCGAGAGGUAUGCGGAAUGCGCAGUGUAGCGGUGAAAUGCUUAGAUAUUGCGCAGAACUCCGAUUGCGAAGGCAGCAUACCGGCGGCGAUCUGACGCUGAGGCACGAAAGCGUGGGUAUCGAACAGGAUUAGAUACCCUGGUAGUC
Molecule: ribosomal RNA, 459 nt
Filed under: uncultured bacterium
Lineage: Bacteria
Description: partial 16S ribosomal RNA
Rfam family: Bacterial small subunit ribosomal RNA
Source: RNAcentral